GCAUAUCAAUAAGCGGAGGAAAAGAAACCAACAGGGAUUGCCCUAGUAACGGCGAGUGAAGCGGCAACAGCUCAAAUUUGAAAUCUGGCCUCGGCCCGAGUUGUAAUUUGCAGAGGAAGCUUUAGGCGCGGCACCUUCUGAGUCCCCUGGAACGGGGCGCCAUAGAGGGUGAGAGCCCCGUAUAGUUGGAUGCCUAGCCUGUGUAAAGCUCCUUCGACGAGUCGAGUAGUUUGGGAAUGCUGCUCAAAAUGGGAGGUAAAUUUCUUCUAAAGCUAAAUACCGGCCAGAGACCGAUAGCGCACAAGUAGAGUGAUCGAAAGAUGAAAAGCACUUUGAAAAGAGGGUUAAAUAGCACGUGAAAUUGUUGAAAGGGAAGCGCUUGUGACCAGACUUGCGCCGGGCUGAUCAUCCGGUGUUCUCACCGGUGCACUCGGCCCGGCUCAGGCCAGCAUCGGUUCUCGCGGGGGGAUAAAGGCCCUGGGAACGUAGCUCCUCCGGGAGUGUUAUAGCCCAGGGCGUAAUGCCCUCGCGGGGACCGAGGUUCGCGCAUCUGCAAGGAUGCUGGCGUAAUGGUCAUCAGCGACCCGUCUUGAAACACGGACCAAGGAGUCAAGGUUUUGCGCGAGUGUUUGGGUGUAAAACCCGCACGCGUAAUGAAAGUGAACGUAGGUGAGAGCUUCGGCGCAUCAUCGACCGAUCCUGAUGUUUUCGGAUGGAUUUGAGUAGGAGCGUUAAGCCUUGGACCCGAAAGAUGGUGAACUAUGCUUGGAUAGGGUGAAGCCAGAGGAAACUCUGGUGGAGGCUCGCAGCGGUUCUGACGUGCAAAUCGAUCGUCAAAUCUGAGCAUGGGGGCGAAAGACUAAUCGAACCAUCUAGUAGCUGGUUACCGCCGAAGU
RNAcentral lists this ribosomal RNA (896 nucleotides) under Parachaetomium carinthiacum. Its description in RNAcentral is "LSU rRNA". It matches the Rfam family "Eukaryotic large subunit ribosomal RNA", at positions 38 to 967 of the family's 3401-position model. The record is from RNAcentral. Lineage: Eukaryota; Fungi; Ascomycota; Sordariomycetes; Sordariales; Chaetomiaceae.